This 221-nucleotide ribosomal RNA is filed under the name uncultured bacterium. Its description in RNAcentral is "partial 16S ribosomal RNA". It matches the Rfam family "Bacterial small subunit ribosomal RNA", at positions 118 to 334 of the family's 1533-position model. The record is from RNAcentral.
UAAGUAACCUGCCCUAGACAGGGGGAUAACUGCUGGAAACGGCAGCUAAGACCGCAUAGGUAUGGACACUGCAUGGUGACCAUAUUAAAAGCGCCAAGGCACUGGUAGAGGAUGGACUUAUGGCGCAUUAGCUGGUUGGUGAGGUAACGGCUCACCAAGGCGACGAUGCGUAGCCGACCUGAGAGGGUGACCGGCCACACUGGGACUGAGACGCGGCCCAG